This 497-nucleotide ribosomal RNA is filed under the name uncultured bacterium. Its description in RNAcentral is "partial 16S ribosomal RNA". It matches the Rfam family "Bacterial small subunit ribosomal RNA", at positions 28 to 507 of the family's 1533-position model. The record is from RNAcentral.
GAUGAACGCUGGCGGCGUGCCUAAUACAUGCAAGUCGAGCGAACAGAUGAGGAGCUUGCUCCUCUGACGUUAGCGGCGGACGGGUGAGUAACACGUGGAUAACCUACCUAUAAGACUGGGAUAACUUCGGGAAACCGGAGCUAAUACCGGAUAAUAUAUUGAACCGCAUGGUUCAAUAGUGAAAGACGGUUUUGCUGUCACUUAUAGAUGGAUCCGCGCCGCAUUAGCUAGUUGGUAAGGUAACGGCUUACCAAGGCAACGAUGCGUAGCCGACCUGAGAGGGUGAUCGGCCACACUGGAACUGAGCCACGGUCAAGACUCCUAAGGGAGGCAGCAGUAGGGAAUCUUCCGCAAUGGGCGAAAGCCUGACGGAGCAACGCCGCGUGAGUGAUGAAGGUCUUCGGAUCGUAAAACUCUGUUAUUAGGGAAGAACAAAUGUGUAAGUAAAUAUGCACGUCUUGACGGUACCUAAUCAGAAAGCAACGGCUAACUACGUG